UGGGAGAAUCUGUAAAGCUCAGGAGGGAUAGCGCCAUGGAUGAAUAUUAUACAUGAGCUUAAUAACAAUAUUGCUUGUUUUAACCAUCCAUAGCGCUAUCCAUCCUGAGUUUCAUAGCUUCUUCAU
This is a non-coding RNA of Nicotiana sylvestris (wood tobacco), 126 nucleotides long. The record is from Rfam. Lineage: Eukaryota; Viridiplantae; Streptophyta; Magnoliopsida; Solanales; Solanaceae.